GUGGGGAAUCUUAGACAAUGGGCGCAAGCCUGAUCUAGCCAUGCCGCGUGAGCGAUGAAGGCCUUAGGGUUGUAAAGCUCUUUCGUGGGGGAAGAUAAUGACUGUACCCCAAGAAGAAGCCCCGGCUAACUCCGUGCCAGCAGCCGCGGUAAUACGGAGGGGGCUAGCGUUGUUCGGAAUUACUGGGCGUAAAGCGCACGUAGGCGGACUGGAAAGUCAGGGGUGAAAUCCCGGGGCUCAACCCCGGAACUGCCUUUGAAACUCCCAGUCUUGUGUUCGAGAGAGGGGAGGGGAAGUCCGGGUGUAGAGGUGAAAUUCGUAGAUAUUCGGAGGAACACCAGUGGCGAAGGCGGCUCACUGGCUCGAUACUGACGCUGAGGUGCGAAAGCGUGGGGAGCAAACAGGAUUAGAAACCCUGGUAGUCC
Molecule: ribosomal RNA, 425 nt
Filed under: uncultured bacterium
Lineage: Bacteria
Description: partial 16S ribosomal RNA
Rfam family: Bacterial small subunit ribosomal RNA
Source: RNAcentral